RNAcentral lists this ribosomal RNA (855 nucleotides) under Triticum aestivum (bread wheat). RNAcentral's name for it is "partial small subunit ribosomal RNA". The record is from RNAcentral. Lineage: Eukaryota; Viridiplantae; Streptophyta; Magnoliopsida; Poales; Poaceae.
AUGAAAGAUCGAUGGCUGGAUGUUGUAGAGUAUUGGAUGGAAAUAACAAAUUUGUUGUUGCUAUUGGGAGUUUGCACCGGUGAUUUGCAAUUUGAGAAGGAGCGCAUAGUGGUAGGUGAUCCUUCGACCCAAAUGGUUUCAUGUAGUUGUGGAAUGUUUAAUAGGACAGGGAUAUUGCAUGGACAUGGUCUAAAAGUUCUUGAUUUGAUGAAUAUAAAGACAUUGCCAACACAUUAUAUCUUAAAGAGAUGGACUAGAGAAGCACACAAUGGAAGCAUACAUAGGCAAGGAAGGAACGUGAUAGAAAAUCCAAAAUUAAAAGCUCAACUCCGAUACAAGGACUUGUCUCAUAAGUUUCACAAUAUGACACAUAAAGCAACCAACUCUCAUGAAUGUUGUGUGCUACUAGAAAGUGCACUUGAUUCCGUUGCUCCACGCAUAGAUGAUUUACUCAGUGCAGCCCCUAGUGCUUUGAGUGAACCAUAUAAAGAUAAAGAAAAUGUUGAUCCAAAAGUGCAGCAAAUAGAUGAGUUGCUUAAUUCUGCACGGCUGAAGAAAAAAGAGGUCCACUCAUCAAGCUUAAGGAGAAAGAAAACUUGGCUUGAUAAGUUACUCAAGGGGAAGCGCAAAACAACUAAAGCUACCACACCAACAACAACAAAAAAGAGCAAAGCAACAAAAGAAAAAAGAUGGUGUGCAACAAAAGAAAAAAAAUAUGAUGUGGAGCCUCAAGUACAAGUGAAGAAGUAUGAAAACAGCAAAGGAGCAAAUUUGGAUCUUCAAGAGAGCAAUGGCAUCAUCAGUUUCACCCAGCUCUUGACGGCUCCACCUUGUGACCAUGAUUAUGUGUUCUAG